ACAACCAUGAUGAAAUCGUUAGAUGGGGACAACUGAUUACUGUGACUGAUUCAUCUCGAUAGUAGAUCUGAUUUU
This is a small nucleolar RNA of Drosophila melanogaster (fruit fly), 75 nucleotides long. Lineage: Eukaryota; Metazoa; Arthropoda; Insecta; Diptera; Drosophilidae. The record is from Ensembl.